GAGGGAGGUGGUGGAUGGAAUAAGAGGGAAGAGAGGAGGAGGGAGGUGCUGGAUGGAAUAAGAGGGAAGAGAGGCGGAGGGAGGUGCUGGAUGGAAUAAGAGGGAAGAGAAGAAAGGCGGAUGGAGGUGCUGGACAGAAUAAGAGGAAAGAGAAGAAAGGCGGAUGGAGGUGGUGGACAGAAUAAGAGGGAAGAGAGGAGGACGGAGGUGCUGGAUGGAAUAGGAAGAAGAGAAGAGGGAAAGAGAAGAGGGGAAGAGGGAGGUGGAGGUGGAGGUGGAGGACAGAAUAGGCGGUGCUGGUUUCAAAAAGGCCCACACUUCUGAAGGGGGAUCUCAGUUACAUUGCCUUGAUUACCUGAGUCCUCCACUGAGGGAGUUUGAUUAACCUGAACCGUGGUGCACCGGGCUUUGUCCCGUGACGUGAACGGAUAAAAGGGGGAAAUGAGGGGCAUCUUUCUUAACUCUACGUGCAUAACUUUCGUCACUUUUGUUGAAAGUGAGUCCCAGGAAGCAGCCUAUUCCAAAACGAAAGCAAUCACUUUUCACGCAUGUUAACAUAAUUUUCAUUAGCAGGUGGCUGAAUCUCAACAGAGAAACCAUCCGAGCGAGGAAAACACCCCUCUGUCUCAGGAUGUGUAGCCCAUGUGUCUGAUGCCGUCUGGACCAGAAUAGAAUAUAUAACAUGUUGCCGCCAUAGCAGUUGAUUGAUGCCAGCAAGCAUUUAGCCUCUCUUGAUAAAAACAUUAUAAAAUAAUUAGCUAAUCAGCGUUGAGCUGAAAUGUGGGUUGUCCUGGUGCAGCAAAACAGCCCCAAGGGAUACCCCAAUCAAAUCACAUCCUAAGAAAAAGCUACAGCGACUGACCGCUGAAGCGCUUAGGGGGCUGGGACCAGCCUCUGUGCCAACAAUCAACGAUAGGCUGGUAGUACCCGAACACUGCUGUAGUUGGCGGCGCCAAACGGUCUGUGGUUUGUGUGUCUGUGUGAGAGAGAAAGAGAGCUGAAUCUCAUAGAUGAAACCAAGACUGUUCUCAGGGCAGCUCUGCCGGUUUUGACGAGCAGAAGAUACUUUUCGUAGCAGGUUACGAAAAUUAACGCAGCAGGUUAGGAUAAUUAGGUAAAGGUUAGGGAAAGCUAAAAUACUAACAAUGUCCCCGACGCGACUCGAAUCUAUUUACAACCAGGCCUGCCCUGAGAAUAGACUUGAUUUCCACUAAUGCGAUGCUCCUCGCCAAACGGUCUGUGAGGGAAGACUCAUAAGAAAAUUAGCUUUCUGUUCUACUCUAGCUAUUUUAUUGUUGUGGAAAAGUCGCCUAAAUAUUUUUGUGCAGCUGAUUAGUAUGUAGUAAUUCCAUAUACUAUAUUCUUCUAUAUACGUACUGCAGGUUUUCUUAACUAAGCUACUAACUAGCUAGCUAACGAUAGCUUGUUUGGAUUGUGUUAGCUAACAGUAGCCAAGUUGAAAUGUCAGUCUGUUGCAUUGAUCUUUCUUGUUGAUCUUUCAGGUUUCUCUGUUGUUUCCCUGAAUCACCCAGUGUGUUCUUCUUAAACCAGGCAUGGAGGGUCUUCAAGAUGCAAUUCAACACCAAUUGCCCGAGUUGGAGCAUUUGGUGAGAUCUUUGUCAGAGCAUCUGAGGGCAAAUGUUGUAGUGGAGAAUAUUAAAGACCUUGAAUAUGUUCAACCGGAAGAUAUAACAGACCAUUUGACGCCGAUAUAGUGUCAGGAAUUUCAACCAAAGAGAAAAUGAAGAAAGGAUAUUAUCUGUAACAAUGGAUAGGACUCUUGUCCUCCUCCAAGCAUCAGUGACCUCCAGGAACAGUGGCCUUUCCGUUUCACCAAGUUAUGG
Oncorhynchus kisutch (coho salmon) is the source of this 1844-nucleotide long non-coding RNA. RefSeq lists it as uncharacterized. NCBI's taxonomy places the organism in Eukaryota, Metazoa, Chordata, Actinopteri, Salmoniformes, Salmonidae. The record is from RefSeq and is a predicted model, not a curated record. The transcript is spliced from 4 exons.